RNAcentral lists this ribosomal RNA (1340 nucleotides) under uncultured bacterium. RNAcentral's name for it is "partial 16S ribosomal RNA". It matches the Rfam family "Bacterial small subunit ribosomal RNA", at positions 28 to 1381 of the family's 1533-position model. The record is from RNAcentral.
GACGAACGCUGGCGGCGUGCUUACACAUGCAAGUCGAACGGUAAGGCUCCAGCUUGCUGGGGUACACGAGUGGCGAACGGGUGAGUAACACGUGGGUGACCUGCCCUGCACUUCGGGAUAAGCCUGGGAAACUGGGUCUAAUACCGGAUAGGACUGCACCGUGAGGGUGUGGUGGAAAGUUUUUUCGGUGUGGGAUGGGCCCGCGGCCUAUCAGCUAGUUGGUGGGGUAAUGGCCUACCAAGGCGGCGACGGGUAGCCGGCCUGAGAGGGUGGACGGCCACAUUGGGACUGAGACACGGCCCAGACUCCUACGGGAGGCAGCAGUGGGGAAUAUUGCACAAUGGGCGGAAGCCUGAUGCAGCGACGCCGCGUGGGGGAUGACGGCCUUCGGGUUGUAAACUCCUUUCACCAUCGACGAAGGGUUUCUGACGGUAGAUGGAGAAGAAGCACCGGCUAACUACGUGCCAGCAGCCGCGGUAAUACGUAGGGUGCGAGCGUUGUCCGGAAUUACUGGGCGUAAAGAGCUCGUAGGUGGUUUGUCGCGCCGUCUGUGAAAUUCCGGGGCUUAACUCCGGGCGUGCAGGCGAUACGGGCAUAACUUGAGUACUGUAGGGGAGACUGGAAUUCCUGGUGUAGCGGUGAAAUGCGCAGAUAUCAGGAGGAACACCGGUGGCGAAGGCGGGUCUCUGGGCAGUAACUGACGCUGAGGAGCGAGAGCAUGGGGAGCGAACAGGAUUAGAUACCCUGGUAGUCCAUGCCGUAAACGGUGGGCGCUAGGUGUGGGUUUCCUUCCACGGGAUCCGUGCCGUAGCUAACGCAUUAAGCGCCCCGCCUGGGGAGUACGGCCGCAAGGCUAAAACUCAAAGGAAUUGACGGGGGCCCGCACAAGCGGCGGAGCAUGUGGAUUAAUUCGAUGCAACGCGAAGAACCUUACCUGGGCUUGACAUAUACAGGAUCGCGCCAGAGAUGGUGUUUCCCUUGUGGCUUGUAUACAGGUGGUGCAUGGUUGUCGUCAGCUCGUGUCGUGAGAUGUUGGGUUAAGUCCCGCAACGAGCGCAACCCUUGUCUUAUGUUGCCAGCACGUUGUGGUGGGGACUCGUAAGAAACUGCCGGGGUUAACUCGGAGGAAGGUGGGGAUGACGUCAAAUCAUCAUGCCCCUUAUGUCCAGGGCUUCACACAUGCUACAAUGGUCGGUACAGUGGGUUGCCAGUCCGUGAGGGCGAGCUAAUCCCGCAAAGCCGGUCUCAGUUCGGAUCGGGGUCUGCAACUCGACCCCGUGAAGUCGGAGUCGCUAGUAAUCGCAGAUCAGCAACGCUGCGGUGAAUACGUUCCCGGGCCU